GAUGAACGCUGGCGGCGUGCCUAAUACAUGCCAGUCGAGCGAACAGACGAGGAGCUUGCUCCUCUGACGUUAGCGGCGGACGGGUGAGUAACACGUGGAUAACCUACCUAUAAGACUGGGAUAACUUCGGGAAACCGGAGCUAAUACCGGAUAAUAUAUUGAACCGCAUGGUUCAAUAGUGAAAGAAGGUUUUGCUGUCACUUAUAGAUGGAUCCGCGCCGCAUUAGCUAGUUGGUAAGGUAACGGCUUACCAAGGCAACGAUGCGUAGCCGACCUGAGCGGGUGAUCGGCCACACUGGAACUGAGAAACGGUCCCGACUCCGACGGGAGGCAGCAGUAGGGAAUCUUCCGCAAUGGGCGAAAGCUUGACGGAGCAACGCCGCGUGAGUGAUGAAGGUCUUCGGAUCGUAAAACUCUGUUAUUAGGGAAGAACAAAUGUGUAAGUAACUAUGCACGUCUUGACGGUACCUAAUCAGAAAGCCACGGCUAACUACGUG
RNAcentral lists this ribosomal RNA (497 nucleotides) under uncultured bacterium. RNAcentral's name for it is "partial 16S ribosomal RNA". It matches the Rfam family "Bacterial small subunit ribosomal RNA", at positions 28 to 507 of the family's 1533-position model. The record is from RNAcentral.